This is a non-coding RNA of Pelobates cultripes (western spadefoot toad), 725 nucleotides long. Lineage: Eukaryota; Metazoa; Chordata; Amphibia; Anura; Pelobatidae. The record is from the annotation of a GenBank genome assembly.
AUAUUGUAGGACUGAUACAUAGUGCUGCUGUAGAUCAUUUUUCACAUUUAUAUUUUUCACAUAUACACUACAUAUGUGUGUGUCGAUGAAUAUGCAGAUUUCUGAUACAAACAGAUCAUUAACUUGCCAAUAUGUAAUAUGAUACAAAAUCACAGCAAUAUAUAGGCAUCACCAAAGGGUUCCUCCAAGUAGCAUAGGGGGCUGUAGAGGAUAUAGUGCAAGGAGUACCAUGGCUCCAUUCCCUCCUAAGGAGGCAGCAUAUUUACAACAGCUUAUCUGGAUAUCGUCAUGGGGACAAGCAUCAACGAAUGGCAGCUGAAUGACAUUGGGAUUCUGCAGAGCUGUAGAAGCCUGAUGCUGCUACUGCCAGUCAUUCACUAGCUGAGACCAUCAGCUGUGGGCUCUCUGCCAGAUGUGGAGUUACACCUCUAGCAACAGUAUUAAUAUCUCUGUAUGUGAAGCGUUUCUUACACCAUGAUCACUCCGUAUCAAUGGACUGGUCACGGUACUUCUAGUAAUGCUUUAAUGUUUACACGUGGCCUUUGUACAUAAAUGUUGCAAAAUUGUUCAUCUAACCUAUUGUACCUUCCUUUGACCCAGCCCAUUAACUUGUGCCCUCUCUACUGGUCAUUUCGUUCACAUGCAUCUCCUUUUAUUCUAUUGAGCUACUCGAUCAAUCCUUGCUGUAUUUCCAGUGAUAUGUCAUGUGAUAGGCUGGGAUGCUG